GAGGAUGCAAUGCAUUCGUUAGUAGUUCCAUAUAGUCUCGCUCGUUUCAACGAAACAGUGGGAGUAUUAUAUGCUACUAAAUCAUAUUGACUUGGACCAAUAGUUGUGAUAGGCCCAAGUUCUUUUAAUGUGAUUAAAAUGUUUUGAUGUAGCCCAAAACUACUCCCUCAAAUCAAAUAUUAAGUUGAUAAGCGAGAGAUGUUUUGAACAUCUCUUCGUAGGCCUUCCACCGUGGUGGGUUCCAAGCGUUUGUGACUCAUGCACCGGCCUCACCCUAUCAUGGGGAAGUACAAAGCAUGUGCUUACAUCCAGGAGGAAUUCAUAUACAUAUGAUGAGGUGAAUGUAGGCAACGAGGAUAGCCGACAUCGUAUCAUCGUGAGGCUAUUCUUGAACCCCUAUACAAACUAAGCAUGGUGGGAAUAACUUAACUAAGUGCAAUGAAGCCGACAUCGUAUCAUCGUGAGGCAACAUUCUCUAGAGGCCAAACGGAUGGGUAAUUACAAAAGUUGUAAAUGAAUAAUGCGUUAUUCUCUCAUCAUUAUUUUUGCUAGCCAACAUCGUAUCAUCGUGAGGUGGGCUUGGUAAUGGUGAGUCUCCCAUAACCCGCUAAGAGUUCAAUAUAACUCUCGAAUUCUAUUGAGGGAUGUGGAAUUUGCCAAAAAUAGUGGGUGGUACUAUUUUGAUUCAAAGACCCAAUCAAAUAGUUUUAAACAAACAAUCUAAUACGAUUUCUGUUAUGUUAUGUAGUGAACGACAUGCCUAAAAUUAUACCCACCAUUAUACUUGACCAAAGGGGCCUUAAGGGCCAACGUUUCCUUGCUUGGUAUCGCCACAU
RNAcentral lists this long non-coding RNA (836 nucleotides) under Malus domestica (apple). Its description in RNAcentral is "long non-coding RNA (MDOM_LNC004198)". Lineage: Eukaryota; Viridiplantae; Streptophyta; Magnoliopsida; Rosales; Rosaceae. The record is from RNAcentral.